GCCCCUUUAAGAACCCCUGUGAGGGCCAUUGUGGCAGUUGGAGCCUGGUGGAAGGACCAGGUGGCAGGGAUUCAUCAGCAUCAUAGCAGAGGACUUUAAUUCACCCCUGUCAGGAGGGAAAGUCAUCAAGGAAUCCAGAAACAAUGAUUUCCUCCCAGAGACAGAAGAACAGCUUAAGAUGGCACCACGUGGAGCAUCUAGCUAACAGCCUAUUGGAAGCAUAUGCAACACUGCUAUGUCAUCAGUCCAUGAUCCUGGCCAUAAACUCCAGCUCUGUGGAUCCCUUACAACAAUACGACACCCAGUUGGAGAUCAUAAAAUCAUCUUUUAAAAUGAUAUUUGGCCUACCGAGUUUUGACGAAGGAACAGUUCGGACCAGUGGUGAGGAUGCCGAGGAACUGGAGAUUUUAUAUAAAAAUAUUUUAAGUCUGCUCGAGGACACUCUUCUGAUCUUAGUAUCUAAAGACCUCUACAAACUGCAGAUCUUAAAGGAAAUGAUGGUGUGGAUGAGAGAAGACAAUUUGUACCUGCAAGAGAAACCACUGGUGAUCAUCAGCAAGGUGUUAAGAUUUGCAUCCAGGAAAGUCAGGGAACAUACAAGUAUUGAUGCUCCAUGUUUAGGUGUCCUGGCAGCAGAGCUGUCUCUUUUAUAUUCCCACGCGGAUCUCACCAUCGUACAACAAGCUUCCCUGGCAGUAUAUUACCUCCUCAGCAUUGCAAAACGUCAGAUGGCAGACUUCCAAAAAUAUAAAGCUAAGAUGCAGUAUGAGUGUGGAAAUUCCUGCCUCCUGCCUCCUGAUUCUGAAUUCCGACCCGGGAUCUUGAAACAAGACAAAACUAAACUCGCUCAGAGCAUAGGACAAACCUUACUGCCCUCCCUGCUGACUGACUUUGUGUUGUAUCUCCUGACGAAACUCUCCACAUCUAAUCAAGAAACCACAACCAAAGCAGCAGCCAUACUGAAACUGACUCUGAAAUAUCACGCCCAGAAGAUCACCAGGGUGUCUCAGCUGGUGGACACUAUUUAUAAGCAACUGAAUGAAAAUCCUUCUUACUUUAUAAAGGAUGUCUUGUUGGAGGUUGCCACCUUGUUGACACAAUCGUCGCCCAAAGCUGUCAUCUUUCAGCUCUUGGACUACCCAGUCCCAGCGGACAAAGCUGUGAUGCUGAUGUGGCAGGCAGUGGGCACCAAGCCACAAGUCGCCCCGCAGGUGCUGAAGGCAAUCCUCUUGGUGCUGAAGGACAAGCCUUGGGAGGUGGAGGACAGCCUGCAGGAAGGGAAAUGCUUCAUCUUGGAUGCCACCAACAUGAUGCCUCUGGCGGCAUCCCAGGCCCUGUGCGUGCUUUUGCCUAUAAAUUCCUAUAACAAAACAGUGGCCCAGUUUUUUCCUGAGCUCUUCAUGGCCCUCAUGUUUCAACUCCUCUACAUCAGUCAGCUGAGAGUGCAGACCCAGGACAGGCCUCUCUAUGCCAGGGAGGCACUGAGAAUUCUGCUGAAUUGCUCAGGACUGCAACACGUGGAUACGGCUCUAAAGAACAAGUUUUUCUGGAGUCAUAUUUACCAGACAUAUUACUACCAUGAUGGGGUGAACCUCAUGGCCAGAACUCUCUGUGACUGUAACUUCCCACAAUUUCCAGAAACCUUACGUUAUCUCUACAAGAUCUUAGUGCAAGGCCCUAGGAGGUCAGAAGAGCAUAUCAUCAUAGUAACAUUCUUCAUCAAAAUUCUGGAUAAGUUCUUCAAGGACCCACUCCCAGAAUUAUUUUUGGUCUUCCUCAGAAACUGGAUCAGUGAUUCCAAUCCUGAAAUUAGCAAAUUAAGCCUUCAGAAAAUCACCAGCAUGGCCCCGGUUGUCAAUAAGAUAGAAAAUGUCUCCAGCUUAUUAACAUCCAUCCUGGAUGCCUUCGUAUCCAGAGAGGACACUGUUGUGAUUCAAGCCUUGCUCACCCUCCGAAAACUUGUAGACAAACUGGACAAGGUGACCUACUCCUCGCUGUGCACUAGAAUUGCUUCCAGCUACUUCUGUCUGAUGGAUCAUUUUUCUGGGAGUGUCCGGAGCUUGGCUAUCAGGCACUUGGCGGACUUACUCAAGGACGUGGGUCAGCAAACAUCAACUCUCAAACACAUCAUGAGAGGACUCGCACCCCUCCUUCUCUGUCUGGAGGACAGCGAUGGUAGAGUAGUGAGUGCAUGUAAAUAUACAUUAAAAAUCUGUGACUCCGAACUAGAAUGGUCAAUAGCAAAUCUGCUUAAAGAUGAAAAUUACAAUUUUGAGCUGGUAGUUCUCUACACCUGCAACCAUCUGAUCCUUUCUCACGAGAGUUGCACUACGUAUUUAAUAUGUGAUGCCUUACGGUUCCUGGGGAAUCCCCAGGUGCAUCUGAGGAGAGCAGCAGUUAUUUUACUAGCUGUUGAACGAAUGCUCCAGGAUGAAGGCCCUGGGAUCCAGAAGCUGGCAGAAAUAACCCACAACCUUUUAAAGAAAAUAGCCAAUAGACCAAGAUCUACAACUAUUAAACUUGCUAUCCAGAGAUUCUUUAAGUUCUCCGCCAAGGAACUGAAGCUUAUUUAUAAUUGGAAAAGUACCACACAGACAGACCUGUAAGCUUCCUCUCUCGAUAACCUACCUGCGUCGGUAGAUGCUUUUCUGAAAGAUGCUACAGGCUUUCACUGCCCCUUUUCAAUUCUCUAUUGAAAUGUAUAAAUCUGAAAACUCUACUGCCUCUGUGUGUCUGGCAGUGACUAGAAGUCAUUCCUCACUUCUAGUGGGGAAUAGGUUCCAGGUCCCCAACAGAUCUGAACCCGACGGCUGUUUAAGUCCCUUACACAAAAUGGCAUAGUAUUUGCACAUAAGCUACACAUAUCCUCCCACAUAUUUUAUAUUUUAGAUUACUUAUAAUGCCUGAUACAAUGUGCAUGCUGCAUAAAUAAUUGUUAUAUGAGAUUGUUUAGGAAGUAAUGACAAAAAAUGUGCAGAUUUAGUGCAGACACAGAUAUCCCAAUAUUUCCCAUUCAUGGUUGAUUGAAUCCGUGGAUGUGAAAUCCACAAAUAUGGCUUAUACCCCACUGUAUCAGCAUGGUUCGGGUGAGAGGCUCUUGGAAAUUGAUUGAGUGAGCAUGUGCCG
Molecule: long non-coding RNA, 3126 nt
Organism: Chinchilla lanigera (long-tailed chinchilla)
Lineage: Eukaryota; Metazoa; Chordata; Mammalia; Rodentia; Chinchillidae
Source: Ensembl